GAAGAAGAAGGAAGCAUGUCUAAAAAGGGCGGAGCUGCGCUUCAGAAAGAUGCUCCAUGGAGGGCCUCAUCUUCCAAACCCAUUCCCAAAAUUCAUCACUCUCCUGUUCUCCGCGUCUCUCAAACCCCUUAUUCUAUUUACGCUCUCUCCGUCAUGAAGCAUCCCAAUCCGAUUGGAAGUGGUUUGGCAACGGAAGCCAUGGUGGAAUCCGCCGGUCCUGAUUGCGUUGUCCCUGGCCAGAUUACUCCCGUUCGA
RNAcentral lists this unclassified non-coding RNA (255 nucleotides) under Hevea brasiliensis (rubber tree). The record is from RNAcentral. Lineage: Eukaryota; Viridiplantae; Streptophyta; Magnoliopsida; Malpighiales; Euphorbiaceae.